This 335-nucleotide unclassified non-coding RNA is filed under the name fungal sp. RNAcentral's name for it is "partial internal transcribed spacer region". The stretch from base 1 to 46 matches the Rfam family "Eukaryotic small subunit ribosomal RNA", at positions 1786 to 1831 of the family's 1831-position model. Lineage: Eukaryota; Fungi. The record is from RNAcentral.
AAGUCGUAACAAGGUUUCCGUAGGUGAACCUGCGGAAGGAUCAUUGAAGAAGAACCGGGACUACGUGUCCCAAUGCAGACGAAGACCCCUUCGUCCGUCGAAGUGUUGGAGCAACGAGCGAUGUGGGGAAGGCCUUGUGACUUCCCCUGUCGCUGUGUUGCGGCGGCAGGCCUGGCGGGUGAUACCCCCGGCCUAACUCCGCUUCUCUUUUUGAUUUCCGCAUUCGUGAUGAUUGGCUGAUGAACAGACGGUGGCCUGGUUUUCGCGCUUUUGCGAUGCCAGGUACGCCCGAUUGAAACUUUACACAACUUUUAACAAUGGAUCUCUUGGCUCUC